RNAcentral lists this ribosomal RNA (305 nucleotides) under uncultured bacterium. Its description in RNAcentral is "bacterial SSU rRNA". It matches the Rfam family "Bacterial small subunit ribosomal RNA", at positions 335 to 638 of the family's 1533-position model. The record is from RNAcentral.
UCCCUACGGGGGGCAGCAGUGAGGAAUAUUGGUCAAUGGGCGCGAGCCUGAACCAGCCAAGUCGCGUGAGGGAAGACGGUCCUAUGGAUUGUAAACCUCUUUUGUCGGGGAGCAAAAAGGCCUCGUGAGGCCACAAGUGAGAGUACCCGAAGAAAAAGCAUCGGCUAACUCCGUGCCAGCAGCCGCGGUAAUACGGAGGAUGCGAGCGUUAUCCGGAUUUAUUGGGUUUAAAGGGUGCGUAGGCGGAUCGUUAAGUCAGUGGUCAAAUUGAGGGGCUCAACCCCUUCCCGCCAUUGAAACUGGCG